GAUGAACGCUGGCGGCGUGCUUAAUACAUGCAAGUCGAGCGAACAGACGAGGAGCUUGCUCCUCUGACGUUAGCGGCGGGCGGGUGAGUAACACGUGGAUACCCUACCUAUAAGACUGGGAUAACUUCGGGAAACCGGAGCUAAUACCGGAUAAUAUAUUGCACCGCAUGGUGCAAUAGUGAAAGACGGUUUUGCUGUCACUUAUAGAUGGAUCCGCGCCGCAUUAGCUAGUUGGUAAGGUCACGGCCUACCAAGGCAACGAGGCGUGGCCGACGGGACGGGGGGAUCGCCCACACUGGAGCGGGGACGCGGACCAGACGCCUACGGGAGGGAGCAGUAGGGAACCGGACGCAAUGGGCGGGAGCCUGACGGAACAGCGCCGCGUCAGUGAUGAAGGUCUUCGGAUCGUAAAACUCUGUUAUUAGGUAAAAACAGAUGUGUAAGUAACUAUGCACGUCUUGACGGUACCUGAUCAGAAAGCAACGGCUAACUACGUG
This 497-nucleotide ribosomal RNA is filed under the name uncultured bacterium. RNAcentral's name for it is "partial 16S ribosomal RNA". It matches the Rfam family "Bacterial small subunit ribosomal RNA", at positions 28 to 507 of the family's 1533-position model. The record is from RNAcentral.